This 497-nucleotide ribosomal RNA is filed under the name uncultured bacterium. Its description in RNAcentral is "partial 16S ribosomal RNA". It matches the Rfam family "Bacterial small subunit ribosomal RNA", at positions 28 to 507 of the family's 1533-position model. The record is from RNAcentral.
GAUGAACGCUGGCGGCGUGCCUAAUACAUGCAAGUCGAGCGAACAGAUGAGGAGCUUGCUCCUCUGACGUUAGCGGCGGACGGGUGAGUAACACGUGGAUAACCUACCUAUAAGACUGGGAUAACUUCGGGAAACCGGAGCUAAUACCGGAUAAUAUAUUGAACCGCAUGGUUCAAUAGUGAAAGACGGUUUUGCUGUCACUUAUAGAUGGAUCCGCGCCGCAUUAGCUAGUUGGUAAGGUAACGGCUUACCAAGGCAACGAUGCGUAGCCGACCUGAGAGGGGGAUCGGCCACACGGGAACUGAGACACGGUCCAGACUACUACGGGAGGCAGCAGUAGGGAAUCUUCCGCAAUGGGCGAAAGCCUGACGGAGCAACGCCGCGUGAGUGAUGAAGGUCUUCGGAUCGUAAAACUCUGUUAUUAGGGAAGAACAAAUGUGUAAGUAACUAUGCACGUCUUGACGGUACCUAAUCAGAAAGCCACGGCUAACUACGUG